CACAAAUAUUAGAAUCAGCAAAUAAAAGGAUCUGUACCAGAUUGAUUAGACGACAUUUAGCUAGGGAGAAAUAUUAUAUAAGAACUGUGUAUUUAUAACUAACUUCGCAGAAAAGGUUAACAUACACAAAAUCACAAGAAAAACAGUUGGUGUGUUAUACCGACGCAGACUGAGCAUACGACAAGGAAGACAGAAAAGGCGAACUAUCUCACCUAUCCA
Hyposmocoma kahamanoa is the source of this 219-nucleotide long non-coding RNA. RefSeq lists it as uncharacterized. The transcript has 3 exons. NCBI's taxonomy places the organism in Eukaryota, Metazoa, Arthropoda, Insecta, Lepidoptera, Cosmopterigidae. The record is from RefSeq and is a predicted model, not a curated record.